RNAcentral lists this ribosomal RNA (253 nucleotides) under uncultured bacterium. RNAcentral describes it as "partial 16S ribosomal RNA". It matches the Rfam family "Bacterial small subunit ribosomal RNA", at positions 524 to 776 of the family's 1533-position model. The record is from RNAcentral.
UACGGAGGGUGCAAGCGUUGUCCGGAAUCACUGGGCGUAAAGGGCGCGUAGGCGGCUCAUGAAGGCUGUGGUGAAAGUCCGGGGCUCAACCUCGGAUCGGCCGUGGCGACUCGUGGGCUGGAGCACUGUAGAGGCGGGUGGAAUUCCGGGUGUAGCGGUGGAAUGCGUAGAGAUCCGGAAGAACACCGGUGGCGAAGGCGGCCUGCUGGGCUAUGGCUGACACUGAGGCGCGACAGCGUGGGGAGCAAACAGG